RNAcentral lists this ribosomal RNA (731 nucleotides) under Alkalicoccobacillus gibsonii. Its description in RNAcentral is "bacterial SSU rRNA". It matches the Rfam family "Bacterial small subunit ribosomal RNA", at positions 56 to 766 of the family's 1533-position model. Lineage: Bacteria; Bacillati; Bacillota; Bacilli; Caryophanales; Bacillaceae. The record is from RNAcentral.
UGCAAGUCGAGCGGACGUUUUUGAAGCUUGCUUCAAAAACGUUAGCGGCGGACGGGUGAGUAACACGUGGGCAACCUACCUUAUCGACUGGGAUAACUCCGGGAAACCGGGGCUAAUACCGGAUAACAUCUAGCACCUCCUGGUGCCGGAUUAAAAGAGGGCUUCUUGCUCUCACGAUGAGAUGGGCCCGCGGCGCAUUAGCUAGUUGGAGAGGUAACGGCUCCCCAAGGCGACGAUGCGUAGCCGACCUGAGAGGGUGAUCGGCCACACUGGGACUGAGACACGGCCCAGACUCCUACGGGAGGCAGCAGUAGGGAAUCUUCCGCAAUGGACGAAAGUCUGACGGAGCAACGCCGCGUGAGUGAUGAAGGGUUUCGGCUCGUAAAGCUCUGUUAUGAGGGAAGAACACGUACCGUUCGAAUAGGGCGGUACCUUGACGGUACCUCAUCAGAAAGCCACGGCUAACUACGUGCCAGCAGCCGCGGUAAUACGUAGGUGGCAAGCGUUGUCCGGAAUUAUUGGGCGUAAAGCGCGCGCAGGCGGCCUUUUAAGUCUGAUGUGAAAUCUUGCGGCUCAACCGCAAGCGGCCAUUGGAAACUGGGAGGCUUGAGUACAGAAGAGGAGAGUGGAAUUCCACGUGUAGCGGUGAAAUGCGUAGAUAUGUGGAGGAACACCAGUGGCGAAGGCGACUCUCUGGUCUGUAACUGACGCUGAGGCGCGAAAGCGUGGGG